RNAcentral lists this ribosomal RNA (506 nucleotides) under uncultured bacterium. Its description in RNAcentral is "partial 16S ribosomal RNA". It matches the Rfam family "Bacterial small subunit ribosomal RNA", at positions 29 to 523 of the family's 1533-position model. The record is from RNAcentral.
AGUGAACGCUGGCGGUAGGCCUAACACAUGCAAGUCGAACGACAGCACAGGAGAGCUUGCUCUCUGGGUGGCGAGUGGCGGACGGGUGAGGAAUACAUCGGAAUCUACUUUUUCGCGGGGGAUAACGUAGGGAAACUUACGCUAAUACCGCAUACGACCUACGGGCGAAAGCAGGGGACCUUCGUGCCUUGCGCGAUUGAAUGGGCCGGUUUCGGAUUAGCUAGUGGGCGGGGUAAAGGCCCACCAAGGCGACGAUCCGUAGCUGGUCUGAGAGGAUGAUCAGCCACACUGGAACUGAGACGCGGUCCAGACUCGUACGGGAGGCAGCAGUCGGGAAUAUUGGACAAGGGGCGCAGGCCUGAUCCAGACAUACCGCGUGGGUGAAGAAGGCCUUCGGGUUGUAAAGCCCUUUUGUUGGGAAAGAAAUCCAGCUGGCUAAUACCCGGUUGGGAUGACGGUACCCAAAGAAUAAGCACCGGCUAACUUCGUGCCAGCCGCCGCGGUAA